GGCCUUGUAGUUUAAUGGUAAAACAUGUUACGCCCUUCAUUGAGCGGAAGGAAGAAGGUUGUUCGAUUCCUCCCAACGCCA
Molecule: transfer RNA, 81 nt
Filed under: Botrytis cinerea B05.10
Lineage: Eukaryota; Fungi; Ascomycota; Leotiomycetes; Helotiales; Sclerotiniaceae
Description: tRNA EFBcG00000013194
Rfam family: tRNA
About the family: Transfer RNA (tRNA) molecules are approximately 80 nucleotides in length. Their secondary structure includes four short double-helical elements and three loops (D, anti-codon, and T loops).
Source: Rfam by way of RNAcentral